Xenia sp. Carnegie-2017 is the source of this 373-nucleotide long non-coding RNA. RefSeq lists it as uncharacterized. The record is from RefSeq and is a predicted model, not a curated record. The transcript has 2 exons. NCBI's taxonomy places the organism in Eukaryota, Metazoa, Cnidaria, Anthozoa, Malacalcyonacea, Xeniidae.
GCCUCAACUGCUAUUUCCAAAGCAGAUGCAAAAUUUGUGGGAUAUAUCCAAUCAUUUGAUUCCCAAGUAGGAAAGUUAUGAGUUUCAGCUGUAAAGACAAUGUGACGUAAUGAAUCUUCCAACUUCAGAGAACUUGCUUCAGAUGUAUCAUUUGGAAAUAUUGCAGGAACGUUAAAACCUUUAAUAGCACUACAUGUGAAAAAUAAACACAGAUAUCAGAAUAACAAAAUAUUUCUUUCAACUUCAGAAAAGAUCUGGUUGACUUGGAAACCCUGAUAAAGCAUAUGAAAACAUAACAGCUAACUAACAGCUACUGUACCUAGUGCUUGUACAAUUAGAGCUAAAUAAAGUUGCAAAUAUAGUUUGACAUAUA